AGCCCCCGUGCUUAUAUAAAGCAGGUCCCGGGCGCAGCUCGUUCUUUUGCGUCCGCCUCGCCGCCUUCCCACCUCGUCUUGUUCCAGUGAGUCAUCCUCAUCCGACGCCCUGGGAACUCGAGGGUAUUACUGUCUGGUUAACGUGAUCAGAGGGUACAGGAUGAAUCUCGAAGGAGAGGGUCGUCUCUGGGCCUCCAAGGGAACCCCGUGUAGACAUCGAGAACCUUUGGGUUCCUGACCUCGGGUUUUCUGUUGGCAGAAAGCAGACUUUAGUGGAACAGGAUGGAUCCAGGAGUAGGAAAGGACUGGUGAUGUGCACAUUUCUCCUAAGUACCCAUGUCCACAUGGCUGAAUAGACAGAGUCUGGAGAACAGAGGAGGUCAGGAGCCCUGUGUGCCACUGGGCAGAAAGAAAGUAGGUUGAUUGCAGUCUGAUACUCCCCCUGGUUCAGUCUGUCCUGACAGGAGUUUCUCACCGCUGGAGUUGGAAUACAAGGCCUUUUGGAAAAGACUGACCCUGUAUUUUCAUGAAAAAGCAUAAUAUAAUUUUGUAGGUUUCCUAUCUGUAAAAGAAAAAUAAAAAAUCCUUUAAAUCCAAAUGUGCUCGGA
Molecule: long non-coding RNA, 608 nt
Organism: Molossus molossus (Pallas's mastiff bat)
Lineage: Eukaryota; Metazoa; Chordata; Mammalia; Chiroptera; Molossidae
Exons: 5
Source: RefSeq, a predicted model, not a curated record